AUAAUGCUAAGUGAAAUAAGUCAGAGAAAGAAAAAUACCAUGUGAUUUCCCUCUUAUGUAGGACUUAAGAAACAAAACAAAGAAAGAAACAAACCAAAAGACCCUUAACUAUAAACUCAAAAAAUUCUUAACUCUUAACUAUACAGAACAUAUGGAUGGUUGAGGGGAGGUAGGUGGGAAGAUGGGUGAACUAAGUGAGAGAGAUUAAGGGUACCCUUAUCGUGAGGAGCACGGAGUAAGUAUAGAAUUAUGAAUCACUAUAUUGUACCCCUGAAGCUAAUAUAACACUAUAUGUUAAUUACACCGGACUGAAAAAUAAAUAGAACAAAAUACCUGCUUCUCAGAUAGCCGUGGAGACUAACUGUGAAGACUUGUGAAGGGUACACAGUGGGUCUCAGCUGAUCUUCCCCCAUCAGGUGAGAGAAAGAAGGCAGGUGGCUGGGAGCCUGGUGUCACGUCUAAUGGCCUGCAUGUUCUGUUCUAUUCACCUGCCAGUGACUGGGUGUGAGCCCUUGCUAUGGAAUUGAAAGAUGAGUCCUCAGCCACAUGGCCCCCUCUCCCUUCUUUUACUGCCCAUGCUCAGCUACAGAGCUCUUCAGAAUUCUGCCUCUUUUGGGGGCAUUGUGGGGCCCCGUCUCCAAAGUCAAGGAACUCUGCUCCAAAUCUUGAUGUGUGGCAUUUCUUCUGAUUUCUUCAGAGGAACUAGUGAUACCUGUGUGAUCUCAGCCUUGACACGUCUCUCUUGAAUUUCACGGGGGAGGCACGGGUCCCCAGUGCUAACAGUGGAUGGUCACUCCUCGCCAUUGGUCUGGGCCUGCAGGGACUGCCAGGGUGAGACACCGAGCGGCAGGCUGCUGCUCACCACAGAUCGAACAGCAAAGCCACAGAGCUCAUCCUCGGAGGGGCAUUGUCCUAUUUGCAGCCACGUUCGGGGGAAGGGGGAAGGUAUUCAACAACUCUUGAGGGAAGCACAGUGGACAGUAGCAGGGUUUUGUCAUGGAAGGGAUAAUUCAAAAGAAACGUCCUACUUGGGUGUCAGUGUUCUCUUUCCAACCGUUGGUCAACCAACAUCUACGAAAGGCUUACCACGGUGCCAAGCACUGGGACUAUGGGGCAGUGUGGACUUUAAGUAGCACUGUGCCACCUGGAGGAAAAUCACCGUGGGAUACCGAGUGGCAGGGCCAAGCCUUGAAGGAGCCGCCUAGAUUUUCCAUGGCCACACUUUUGAUCCAAAACUGAGGGAAUAACAUCAAACAGCUAAAUUGGGGCCGUUUGAAUGGAGAUGAAGAAGCAUAUGAAGAUCUGGGUAUCUGGGGAUCACUGUGGGUGGUCUGCAGGGUGCUAGAAAUGUUGGAGGUUGGCACCUUGCCACAGCUCUGGGUGUGUUUCUUUUCAGGCUUCGGAGCACAGCAUUGAGACAUGAUAGAAAAGUGAUAUGCGGAGGCCUAUGUCUGGGCAAAGGAACAGAAGCAGGCUUUUUUUAUUUUUUUUAUUUUUUUUUGCCUUUGUUUUCUAAGUAGAUGUUUUGACCUCUCUAAAAGCAUUACUUAAUCCUAAAUGUAAGUAGGGAGUGGGGAAUGCUAGAAUUAAUCGCUUAGUAAUUACCCUACUGGGGAAACCCAGAAUUUCCUAGGAUGUAAGAAAAAAAAAAAAAAAGGGCAUUCUAUUUCUCAGUGGCCACGAAAA
This is a long non-coding RNA of Felis catus (domestic cat), 1686 nucleotides long. RefSeq lists it as uncharacterized. Lineage: Eukaryota; Metazoa; Chordata; Mammalia; Carnivora; Felidae. The record is from RefSeq and is a predicted model, not a curated record. The transcript is spliced from 2 exons.